GUCCUCGUAGCUUAAUUGGAUAAAGCGUCGGCCUCCGGAGCCGAAAACUGUGGGUUCGAGUCCCACCGAGGGCACCA
Molecule: transfer RNA, 77 nt
Filed under: Candidatus Woykebacteria bacterium RBG_13_40_7b
Lineage: Bacteria; Candidatus Woykeibacteriota
Description: tRNA-Arg
Rfam family: tRNA
About the family: Transfer RNA (tRNA) molecules are approximately 80 nucleotides in length.
Source: RNAcentral